RNAcentral lists this ribosomal RNA (421 nucleotides) under uncultured bacterium. Its description in RNAcentral is "partial 16S ribosomal RNA". It matches the Rfam family "Bacterial small subunit ribosomal RNA", at positions 360 to 773 of the family's 1533-position model. The record is from RNAcentral.
AAUAUUGGACAAUGGGCGAAAGCCUGAUCCAGCCAUGCCGCGUGUGUGAAGAAGGUCUUCGGAUUGUAAAGAACUUUAAGUUGGGAGGAAGGGCAGUAAGUUAAUACCUUGCUGUUUUGACGUUACCGACAGAUAAAGACCCGGCUAACUUCGUGUCAGCAGCCGCGGUAAAACUAUGGGUGCAAGAGUAAAUCGGAAUUAUUGGUCGGAAGGAGCGGGUGGGUGGAUGGUUAAGUUGGAAGUAAAAGCACCGGGCUCAACCUGGGAACUGCUUUCAAAAAUGGCAGGCUAGAGUAUGGCAGAGGGUGGUGGAAUUUCCUGUGUAGCGGUGAAAUGCGUAGAUAUAGGAAGGAACACCAGUGGCGAAGGCGACCACCUGGGCUGAUACUGACACUGAGGUGCGAAAGCGUGGGGAGCAAAC